Molecule: long non-coding RNA, 640 nt
Organism: Rhododendron vialii
Lineage: Eukaryota; Viridiplantae; Streptophyta; Magnoliopsida; Ericales; Ericaceae
Exons: 3
Source: RefSeq, a predicted model, not a curated record
UUAGAAAAGCAUACAAAUGGCUGUUACCAUUUCAGAUCUGGACACAGAAUCUAGUCUCAAGUCAUUCGACAAGUUCCUCUCCGGAAAAACCUAAUUUCUGGGGACCAACUUACUAAAGAUGACAUUAAGAUAUACGUUGCAGUGACACAUAAGGUCGAUGCCUUCCCUAAUGUUAGCAAGUGGUACCACUGCGUCUCCUCGCAACUCACUGCUAGCUUCCCUGGCAAAGCUGUUGGAGCGAAAAUAGCCAGCCAAGGUGCUCCGGCUGAGGAAGUGAAAAAGGUUUGUUUGACAAUCUUUCUUAACUGUCUAGUUGGAUAAUACUGUCAAAGAUUAAUGGCAUUUGUUUAUUGACUUUUCAGUUCACAGCUGUGACUUUUUAUGUACUGCACAGCUGGGUCAAUAAUCCAAGAGCCGUCUUUCAAUUUGAAAGUAAUAAUUCUGUUUCUUUUCCUGCGAACCAAAGUUGAUGUAUGGAAAAAUGUAGUGUUUUGAUCCCCGAACAAGAUCCAAUUUUGGCGAGCCUUUUGAAACCAGAGUAGUUCUUCCUGGACCAAAAGGCGAUUGGAAUUUAAAUAUGGAACGCAAAGGGAAUUCCAAACCUAUCUUCAUUCCAAUAUGCAAGUAUGAUUUUUUUUCG